Non-coding RNA from Odocoileus virginianus texanus, 2679 nucleotides. The record is from RefSeq and is a predicted model, not a curated record. Lineage: Eukaryota; Metazoa; Chordata; Mammalia; Artiodactyla; Cervidae.
GGCCGAGGCUACAGGAGAGGGCGGGGGGGAAAGAAAAGGGAAUUCCAACCUGUGGAAUCUUGGGGGUCCCCGAGGUCGGCUCCUUCCCUUUGAAACUGUGAAUGGUGCCAGGGACAGAGCCUCUAGCGACUCUUGGGGGGGGGAUUUGGGGUCUUCAGGGUGAGGGCGAGGGGAGUGUCAGAGUGUGAGUUUGGUACGGGAGUUCCAAACUUAGAAUCUUGAGGCCCGCCGGGCUCCGGCGCCGGCGAGAGGGAUCUCGGGCCGCCAUGCGGGACAGGACCCACGAGCUGAGGCAGGGGGAUGACAGUUCCGACGAUGAAGACAAGGAGCGAGUCGCGCUGGUGGUACACCCGGGUACUGCACGGCUGGGGAGCCCGGACGAUGAGUUCUUCCAGAAGGUUGGGACAAUUCGGCAGACUAUCGUCAAGCUAGAGAAUAAAGUCCGAGAGUUGGAGAAGCAGCAGGUCACCAUCCUGGCCACGCCCCUUCCCGAGGAGAGCAUGAAGCAGGACCUGCAGAACCUGCGCGACGAGAUCAAACAGCUAGGGAGGGACAUCCGCGCGCAGCUGAAGGCCAUAGAGCCCCAGAAGGAGGAAGCUGAUGAGAAUUAUAACUCCGUCAACACAAGAAUGAGAAAAACCCAGCACGGGAUCCUGUCCCAGCAAUUCGUGGAGCUCAUCAACAAGUGCAACUCAAUGCAGUCUGAAUACCGGGAGAAGAACGUGGAGCGGAUUCGGAGGCAGCUGAAGAUCACAAAUGCUGGAAUGGUAUCUGACGAGGAGCUGGAGCAGAUGCUGGACAGCGGGCAGAGCGAGGUGUUUGUGUCCAAUAUACUGAAGGACACACAAGUGACUCGACAGGCCCUAAAUGAGAUCUCGGCCCGGCACAGCGAGAUCCAGCAGCUGGAGCGAAGUAUCCGUGAACUUCAUGAGAUUUUCACUUUUUUGGCCACUGAAGUGGAGAUACAGGGGGAGAUGAUCAACCGAAUUGAGAAGAACAUUCUGAGCUCAGCCGACUAUGUGGAACGUGGGCAGGAACAUGUCAAGGUGGCCCUGGAGAACCAGAAGAAGGCGCGCAAGAAUCAACUGAAGUUGACAACCCAUGGCACCUACGGGGAUCUGACAGAGACUGUCAAACCGACGCGGAGAUUGCCACGUCUACGCAGCUGGGUGUCCACGUAGAGCAUGUGCCUUCUGCUUGGCAGUGCUGGACAGCGCCACCCCCGAAAGGCUGCUUACUUGUCUCAGGACACCAUCCAGAACUUCCCAGAAGAGUUGGCUUGACGGCCAAGCAAGGGCUCGGAUGGUGGGUUCAGUAAUUUGAACUUUUCCGGUGGGCUGUGGGGACCCAUGGAAGGUUUCUGAACAGCCAUUACAGCCUGGUCCCUGCUGUUGCCAUGUGCCCGCCUUGUUCUGCUAUGGAGAAUGGACGUGAGGUCCCUGACACUAAGGUGAUACCUACUAUUUCUGCUUCGGGUGCUACCACAUGGGCUGGAGGGGGGCUGAACACCAGACACUUCCUAAGGCUGCCAACUUGGUGGCCCCUAAGUCUACAGGUGCCAGUGUGGAAAGGAGGAUCUGGUUCACUGUGACCUUUGGCUUUGUUUUGUCUUAUUGUGAAAGGCCCUAGUAGUUGGGAUUUGUAGUUCAGAAUCAGUUCCUGAGGACCCUUCUAGAAAUACUCUAUAGCUUGAAUUUGAGCACUUAUGAGUAAUUUGGCCCAAAUGGGAGGAUUCUAACCACACUGCUUUGCAGUUUUUCAUUUGACAUUUUUUUGGGAUAUUAUUCAAUGACAUAGAUUGAUAAGCCUAAUUUUUUUGGAAACUGUUGCAUAUUUUACAGUGGCUUUUAGUCCUUUGUAAUGGACACAGAGGGUGUUCCCAGUCAUCACACAUUUUGCUGCACUGAACAAGGCUUCAUUUUCAGUUUUGUCACAGAAUUGGAAAAAGAAACUUGUGGUGUAAAUUCUUUGAGGUGUAUUUGCUGAGUGGAAAAGUGUAUGCUUUUUUUUUUUUUUUGCUGUGUUGCAUGGCUUGUGGGAUCUUAGUUCUCCAGUCAGGGAUCAAACCCAUGCCCUCUGCAUUGGAAGUGAGGGGUCUUAACCACUGGACCGACAGGGAAGUCCUUUUACUUUUAAAAACUGUGUUUGCUUGCUUCUUUUUUCCUCUUCCAGUUUUACUGAGAUAUGACAUACGGCACUGUGUUUAAGGUGUACAGCAUAAUGAUCACAUACAUCACAAAGCUUUUAACUUUUGAUAAACAUCACACUGUCUUUCCAAGAGGUUGUACCAAUUUACACUGUAGGGCCUCAUUUUUGUUUUUCCAUUUUUGGUCUUUGAAAAAUUACUUUAGUGUCAAAUACAUCACCUCCACUGUUUUUAAAAAUAUAUAUUGCACAGGAAUUUAGGAUUUUCAAGUUCUGUUAAAAAUAUCCUUUUGAAUGGCAAUGAACUUAAAGAUUAAACUGAGAAUCAACAGCUUUUAAUAGUAUCUUUCCAUUCAGGUACAUGGUUAUGUCUUCAUUCAGUUAGGUCUUAUAUCCUUCAGGAGAGAUACCAUUUUCUUCAUGUAGGAUUAGUAUGUUUUUGUGUGAGCUUUAUUCCUUUGUAGUUUAUGGGUUUUGUUAUUGAAAAUGGGACUCCAAGUAUAUUUUCUAGUCUGUUAUUGUAAUUUACAGGAA